This is a long non-coding RNA of Ipomoea nil (Japanese morning glory), 1541 nucleotides long. RefSeq lists it as uncharacterized. The record is from RefSeq and is a predicted model, not a curated record. The transcript has 5 exons. Lineage: Eukaryota; Viridiplantae; Streptophyta; Magnoliopsida; Solanales; Convolvulaceae.
CAUUUCGCCCUUCAACUUCAUGCUCUGAGCUCUCGCAUGUUCAAGAACAACCUCACUCUACCCAUUUAGAAAUCUGCUCAUCAUCUACUGUUCCACAGAUUUAAUUUCUGUAUGAACAACUAUUAAUUUGUUUAUUCCUCAAGAUCAGCAUUUGAAGAGCAGAGAAGAACAACUCCUCUACACACCGCCAUAGCAGCUUAAUGAUCGGAGCAAAAAACUUCGAAAUUAUGGCGAUACAGAUAGCUUCCGUCAAUAAAAUAUCUAACUACUACGGACAAAAAUCGAACGAAUACAGCUCAAGAUCUGAGUGUGAAACAUCGCUAUAUGUACAUGCAAACCAAGAUUUCUGUCAAUUAAUUCGUCAUCCAUGGUUGAUACAGAGUGGUUCUUAGAUCCGGAAUAUAGAAGAAGAUCAGGAAAAAUGGUAUUUUCCCGUACAUGCAAACAGUUGGCAAAUAGAUUGAUUUAUUCUAGCAGUCACGAAAAAGGACGCGUUAAAGAUAAGUAGAUCUGAACUAUUUUAUAUAUUUUUUAGAAUAAAAAAAUGCAAAGUUAUUAUACUAUAUCUAUAAAUGUAAUUUGUAUUCUUAAAAAUAAAAUUGAAAUAAAAUAAAGUUGUGUACUGUAUCAUAAUCAGCAUAAUGAAGAUUAAAAUUUUUGUAGUUUUUUCUCAUGUUAGAAAAUAAAAAGACAUUUAAUAUAAAAGAUUAUGAGAAACUGAAUGUUAAGUACCAAAACUACACUGUUAAUAUGGUUUAAUUGAUUCGAAUUUAUAUCAAAGCAAGAGGAAAUACAAUAUCAAAAAAGGUAAAAUGAAUAGAGAUGUAGCCCUUACGAAAUUUAUACACAGUAAUAGAUUAACUGACCUUUGUUUUCGGAUGAUACUUUUCUCUUUCUUCCAAUAAUAGUGGAAGCUCUUAAUUUCUUCAUAGUUUUGAAGAGUUCUUCUUAAAAGUUUAUUAUUUUUUAAAACUAAAAAAAAAAUACAAUACAUUUUCAUGUUCUCUCACCUUGUAUUAUAAAUUUUAAUUUCUUUAUACAUUUAAAAACAAAAGUAAGUACAUUUAACCUGAGGUGAUAAUAUUAAUAGGUUUGCUGCAAGCAGAUUCUUUUAAAGGAAAAAAGUGGAAGCUUUAACAUGAAGGUAUGUGGACAUGGAUGAAGACACCCUAUAUUUAAAACACAUCCAAAAAUAUCAAGGUGAGAUAUCAGUCAGUCACAAGAUAAGAUCGCACACAACGCAAUCUUAUAGCCUUGGUGCUCUGCUGAGGAUGAAGCUGCAUCCCAACAAUAAACUGCCCAUACAUUACCACACUGCACUCCAGAAAACUCACCUCAGUACCUUAAUCUUCAAAUUAUGAUAUUCCUACUUGUAAUCUAUUUUGCAGAGCUUUGUGUUUGCAUAUCCAAGCUUAGAAUGUGAAUGUAUUUAUAAGAGUAGAAGUAAGCUGAGAAGUGUAUAAAAUAUUUCAAUAAUUGUACUUUAAGCACUCCCAUACCUAUUUAGGUUUUUCUACACGCUACCUAAACCAAUUAGACUA